This 1266-nucleotide small RNA is filed under the name Pan troglodytes (chimpanzee). RNAcentral describes it as "processed transcript". The record is from RNAcentral. Lineage: Eukaryota; Metazoa; Chordata; Mammalia; Primates; Hominidae.
CUCUUCAGAUAUUCUGGACUCAGCAGAAGAAUUCUCGGCAAAAGUUGAUAUCGAAGUUGACAGCCCAAACCCUACGCCCGUUCUUAGAAGUGUGAGUCUCCGAGCAAGAGCAGGAAUAGCUAGGAUCCACGCUCCCAGGGACUUGCAGACGAUGCAUUUCUUGGCCAAAGUGGCUUCCUCAAGAAAGCAGCACUUACCUUUGAAAAAUGCUGGGAACAUUGAAGUUUAUUUGGAUAUCAAGGUCCCAGAACAAGGAAGUCACUUUUCAGUGGAUCCAAAGAAUCUAUUCCUUAAACCUGGAGAAGAACAUGAGGUUAUUGUUUCAUUUACUCCAAAGGAUCCUGAAGCCUGCGAGGAAAGGCUUCAGAAACUAGCUUUAAGAAAUAAUUCUGCAUCUACAACUCAACAUUUACGACUGCUUAUUAGAGGACAAGAUCAGGACUGCUUUCAGCUUCAGAACACUUUUGGUUCAGAACAGCGAUUGACCAGUAACUGUGAGAUCAGAAUUCACCCAAAGGAAGACAUUUUCAUCUCUGUAUUAUUUGCACCUACUCGAUUAUCUUGCAUGUUGGCUAGACUAGAAAUCAAACAACUUGGAAAUCGAUCACAACCAGGCAUUAAGUUCACAAUACCUUUGUCUGGAUAUGGAGGAACAAGCAAUCUUAUUUUGGAAGGCGUUAAAAAAUUAUCUGACAGUUACAUGGUAACAGUGAAUGGCUUAGUACCUGGCAAAGAAAGUAAAAUUGUUUUUUCUGUCCGCAACACUGGCUCCCGAGCAGCUUUUGUUAAAGCAGUAGGUUUUAAGGAGUGUCAGAAAAAAGUUUUGCUGGAUCCUAAAGUAUUGAGGAUUUUUCCAGAUAAAUUUGUACUCAAGGAAAGAACACAAGAAAAUGUUACUUUAAUAUAUAAUCCAUCAGACAGAGGAAUCAAUAAUAAAACUGCAACAGAACUAUCAACUGUAUACUUAUUUGGUGGAGAUGAAAUUUCAAGACAGCAGUAUCGCAGGGCCCUGUUACAUAAACCAGAGAUGAUAAAACAGAUACUUCCAGAACAUAGUGUGCUUCAAAACAUUAAUUUUGUUGAAGCAUUUCAAGAUGAGCUAUUAGUAACUGAAGUAUAUGAUCUUCCCCAACGACCUAAUGAUGUUCAGCUCUUUUAUGGAAGCAUGUGUAAAAUUAUACUUUCAGUAAUUGGAGAAUUCAGAGAUUGCAUUUCUAGCAGAGAAUUCCUUCAGCCUUCUUCCAAAGCUAGCUUGGAAUCUACAAG